This 503-nucleotide ribosomal RNA is filed under the name Paenibacillaceae bacterium CL6.19. Its description in RNAcentral is "bacterial SSU rRNA". It matches the Rfam family "Bacterial small subunit ribosomal RNA", at positions 17 to 499 of the family's 1533-position model. The record is from RNAcentral. Lineage: Bacteria; Bacillati; Bacillota; Bacilli; Caryophanales; Paenibacillaceae.
CCCUGGCUCAGGACGAACGCUGGCGGCAUGCCUAAUACAUGCAAGUCGAGCGGACUUGAAGAGAAGCUUGCUUCUCUGAUAGUUAGCGGCGGACGGGUGAGUAACACGUAGGCAACCUGCCCUCAAGUUUGGGACAACUACCGGAAACGGUAGCUAAUACCGAAUAGUUGUUUUCUUCGCCUGAAGAGAACUGGAAAGACGGAGCAAUCUGUCACUUGGGGAUGGGCCUGCGGCGCAUUAGCUAGUUGGUGAGGUAACGGCUCACCAAGGCGACGAUGCGUAGCCGACCUGAGAGGGUGAUCGGCCACACUGGGACUGAGACACGGCCCAGACUCCUACGGGAGGCAGCAGUAGGGAAUCUUCCGCAAUGGGCGAAAGCCUGACGGAGCAAUGCCGCGUGAGUGAUGAAGGUUUUCGGAUCGUAAAGCUCUGUUGCCAGGGAAGAACGCUUGGGAGAGUAACUGCUCUCAAGGUGACGGUACCUGAGAAGAAAGCCCCGGCUA